RNAcentral lists this ribosomal RNA (865 nucleotides) under uncultured bacterium. RNAcentral's name for it is "bacterial SSU rRNA". It matches the Rfam family "Bacterial small subunit ribosomal RNA", at positions 21 to 883 of the family's 1533-position model. The record is from RNAcentral.
GGCUCAGAACGAACGCUGGCGGCGUGGUUAAGACAUGCAAGUCGAACGGAACAGUCUGGUAGUAAUAUUAGGCUGUUCAGUGGCGAACGGGUGCGUAACACGUGGGUGACAUGCCGGGAAGAGAGGAAUAGCCCAGGGAAACUUGGAUUAAUGCCUCAUGUGGUCGAAAGACUAAAGGUGGUGAAAGCUGCCGCUUCCUGAUUGGCCCGCGGCCUAUCAGCUUGUUGGUGAGGUAAAGGCUCACCAAGGCUACGACGGGUAGCUGGUCUUAGAGGACGACCAGCCACACUGGAACUGAGACACGGUCCAGACACCUACGGGUGGCAGCAGUCGAGAAUCUUUCACAAUGGGGGCAACCCUGAUGGAGCGACGCCGCGUGGAGGAUAAGGUCUUCGGAUUGUAAACUCCUGUCAUGCGAGAGCAAGAUUUGUUUGGUAACUCGGGCAAAUUUGAUAGUAUCGCAAGAGUAAGAGACGGCUAACUCUGUGCCAGCAGCCGCGGUAAUACAGAGGUCUCAAGCGUUGUUCGGAAUCACUGGGCGUAAAGGGUGCGUAGGCGGCGCGGAAAGUCAGAUGUGAAAUCCGGGGGCUCAACCUCCGAAUUGCAUCCGAUACUACCGUGCUAGAGAACUGAAGGGGAGUCUGGAAUUCUCGGUGUAGCAGUGAAAUGCGUGGAUAUCGAGAGGAACACUAGUGGCGAAGGCGAGACUCUGGGCAGUAUCUGACGCUGAGGCACGAAGGCCAGGGGAGCGAACGGGAUUAGAUACCCCGGUAGUCCUGGCAGUAAACGGUGCAUGUUUGGUGUGGGAGGGUUCGACCCCUUCCGUGCCGUAGUUAACACGUUAAACGUGCCGCCUGGGAAGUAC